GUGGGGAAUAUUGGACAAUGGGCGAAAGCCUGAUCCAGCCAUGCCGCGUGUGUGAAGAAGGUCUUCGGAUUGUAAAGCACUUUAAGUUGGGAGGAAGGGCAGUAAGUUAAUACCUUGCUGUUUUGACGUUACCGACAGAAUAAGCACCGGCUAACUUCGUGCCAGCAGCCGCGGUAAUACGAAGGGUGCAAGCGUUAAUCGGCAUUACUGGGCGUAAAGCGCGCGUAGGUGGUUUUGUAAGUUGGAGGUGAAAUCCCCGGGCUCAACCUGGGAACUGCCUCCAAAACUGCAUGACUAGAGUACGGUAGAGGGUAGUGGAAUUUCCUGUGUAGCGGUGAAAUGCGUAGAUAUAGGAAGGAACGCCAGUGGCGAAGGCGACUACCUGGACUGAUACUGACACUGAGGUGCGAAAGCGUGGGGAGCAAACAGGAUUAGAUACCCGGGUAGUCC
RNAcentral lists this ribosomal RNA (450 nucleotides) under uncultured bacterium. Its description in RNAcentral is "partial 16S ribosomal RNA". It matches the Rfam family "Bacterial small subunit ribosomal RNA", at positions 354 to 796 of the family's 1533-position model. The record is from RNAcentral.